This is a long non-coding RNA of Gallus gallus (chicken), 5555 nucleotides long. RefSeq lists it as uncharacterized. The transcript has 4 exons. Lineage: Eukaryota; Metazoa; Chordata; Aves; Galliformes; Phasianidae. The record is from RefSeq and is a predicted model, not a curated record.
AUCCCUGUCUGUGGCUCUUCAUCUUCUAUACUGCUCCCCCUUGGUGCAAUAGGGGAGCUAGAUCAUCUCCUUGGUGCUGCUUCCCAUCAGAGUGGCGUGGAGGAAGGAGCCCAAUGCUUUCCAGUUUAGCUCCCUGUCCCAACAGAGUUGCUGCCAAGGAUUAACCCUGCUGGGGAAGGGCAGAGCAAGCUGGGAUACAAACCAGCACAGCAGCAUUCACAAAGCUACCAACAGCCACGAUUUGACUGAUUCACCCGGGUUCUGCUCUCCCCAUUACCUCUGCAUCCUCCAGGGAGUGUAGAACACCCCUUCGUCUCCCAGUUCCCAGAAGGGAGGUAGGAAGUAAGCCAUUUCCCAGCCUGGGAUUGCAGAGAGUUAUAGGAAAUGCUGCUCUAAGUGACUCUGGUGUGCAAUGCAACCCUUCCAUGCCCUCUGGAUUUGCUGCCCUGCAUCCUGGGAGCUGGGCUGGGGCCAGGAGCAGCGAGCAAACCAGCCCCAAGGUUGCAGCCAGGGGGAUGCAGCUGGGAGGGCAAGUGCUGCUCAUUGAUUUUGCAGGAAGGCAGAGGUAUUUUUAGCACUGCUCUGAUGCUGCUCUGUGCUGGUGCUGCUCAGGUUAUAGGGCUUCUCCCCCCCCCACCCUCUGCUCUCUGACUCUUUUUACUUCCCCUACGAUGGUGCUCUGCCAAUUCUGCCUUUCAAAUCGGGGCUUGGCUGGCACGGAUCCCCCUACACAUAUUUGUCCCCAGGUCUUCAAAGAGCUUGCAGCAGUAAAUUUGCAGGGUAGAUCGUUUUCUGCCUAUCAUGGCAUUGUUUAAGCAGUAAUAGCUGGACCACUUCAUCUGCAAGCAUUUAACCAGCUCUCCUGCGCAAAGCUCCGACCCACAUUUAUGACAUUUAUGAAGCAUUUGACAUAGGCAAUGUGCCUGGAGUCGGCCAGCAGAAAGCUCCCCGCCUCUCCUGGGGACUCGUGACUUGCUUCUUUCCCCUCCGACUUGCUUUUAUUCCGCAGCCUUUACAAGGUAAAAGUAGCAAUAGUACAGGUGGCUCCUGAGAUAUCCCCAUGGCUGGGUUGGAGAGCAGUGCAGGGAGAGGAAAAUUCGGGAGGUAAUUGCUAGCAAGGAGCCAUCAAUGCAAUGGAGGAACUGGAAGGGGAUCUGCAAUAAUGCCUGGCACCAAUGGGUCCCCAAACAGGGAGAGCUGCUGGGAUUUGCUGGGCAAGCAUUGGGGAACUGCUGGAAACAAUGCCGAGGUUUGGGGCUCUGUGCAGAGAUUGGUGGCUGUGCAAUGGGAAAAUGGAACCAAAUGGCACAAAGCGCAUCUACACAAUGGAUGUCCAUAGGACGGACCCAGGUGCCCACCCAAAAGCCCCAUGUAUCACUACUCACUGUCCAGGCAGGGCUCGCAGACGGUCUGGUUGACCCCGCAGGGCUGCACCACGCCCUCGCCCAGGUUGCAGGCUUUGCAGCACUCACCGCUCGUCGUGUACAUCUUGGUCAAGCACUUUUCCUUGGAGCCCCAGGUGGGUCCCUGGGAGAGAAAACAGCCCGGAGGUGACUCCUGUGACAGGAAUUGCAACGAUGGGCAGAGAGAGAUGAUGCAUCCAGGAAGGGUUGUGCUGCGGGGUGGACACUCAAUAUCUGGGCUAAAGGGGGGGCUGUGUGUUAGAUAUAAGGCUUGGGAGAAAGGGGAGGUAAAUGUCUUUCCUAUGCAAAACUCAUUCAUUUGUAAAGCUUCUGCCAAAUGCUACUGAUUGAGGGAGGCAAUGACAGCCCUUGGUCUGGGCUUGUGGGUCUUAGGGGGAUGCUGGCUUUUCUGUAGGGUUACAGCAUUAUGUCCCCAUCACAGGAGCCGUUCCCUCUGUGGAUGCUGUGCUGUCCUGAGCAGCUCAGCCCCCCCCUGCCUGGGAAAAGCUGCCAGCUCCAGUGAAGGGUUUGGAGGGCUGAGGUCCCUGUUCUGCACUGGGAUCAGAAAUCAGACCCCGUCGGUGGAAAUGAAGACUUUGACAGGAGCGCAGAGAGCUUCAGCUGUCUGACAGGAGGGGUGGCCUUGAAGGAAGGUGUGCGCAGCGCAGCACCAUCAUCUCCCAAACCCUGGCACGGAAAGGAGCUGCGCUGCUCCGAAACGGGGAACGGCAGCAAUUCCUGCAGCUGGAGACCGGCCCGGCGGCAAGCCUGGAUCCGAACGGCCCGCGAGGCUGACGGACGGGUUCUGUGUAUUUUGGCGGAGCACCCUGUCUAGAAAAGGCCACAGCUCUGAAUUCUCAGCACUCCCCAAAGUUUGGGCAGCGGGAGAGCCACGUCUGAGCCGUGCGGGUCCCACAGAGCUCUGCCUCCUCCCCCGACCCAGCUCCAAUCUGAGCAGUGCAGGCUGUGGCCUUUCCCCACGGGAUGCACCGCUGGGCUGCAGCGCUCCCCUGGAGGGGGCCGCCGACAAGAGGAACUUCCCCAAGCCCCAUUGCAGAGCUCGGGUGUUGGAUGAUGCUCUGACACCACCACGAGUGUCACUCCAAGAAAAACCUCACCACGGUGACGCAAAGCAGAGACGGACGGACAGAGACGGCCGCUCAGAUGGGCUGCAUCUGCACGGGGCUGGGCAGGCGGCCAGCACAAGUAAGUGGAAACUGCUGCUCCAUCCCAACCCGCGUGGCUCCUUUGGUGAAGGCACUCCUUGCACUUUAUGUCAUCCCCCACCUCAUGCCUUUUUUUUUUUUCUCUCCCAGAAAGGUUGUGGCCCUUUCCUGGCUCUGUGUGAUGACAAAGGGCCUCUUAAAAGUCUGCUGUCGCCUCUCAGAAUUAAAACCAAAGGCUUUGGGGUUGCAUGUGCUCAGGGAGCAUCCUCAGGGCUGCUGGCAGAGCACGGCACCAGCUGCUGCCCUGCAACUCCCAACCCCAACCAAGAGGUCUCCCCACCCUCAACCAGCCAUGCCCCGGGGUGACUCCUGGCCAUUGAGGGAGGUCCGAAAUUGUGGCUCAGUGAUGCUCCAGGUACUCCUGAGCCACAGGGGGAUGACGCUGCAGUGGCACCAUGCUGGCCUCCACCAAUGCUGGUUGGUGAGAGCAGGUUGGGGAAUGGAGAACAGCUCACCUGCCUGUAAGGAAGAAAGGAGCUUCUGGCUCUUCUGCUGGCUCCUGAUCCCAUUUUGGGCUGGGAGGUCAUACACAGAGGAUUCACUGCUGGGGGAGCACUGUGGGGCUCCUGGGGCUGGGUGGGCUCAUCCUUGUUUGUGAAUGGGAGCAUCAAGGAAUGGGGCUGAGAGCAGAGGUGAGGAGGAAGCAGGGAGGGCUCCCAAGGGGAAGCAUCAUCCCUGGGAGAGACAGCUGUGCCCCAUGGGCCUCCCCCUACUGGAGCAGAGAGGUUUAAUUAGCAAAAGCCCAAUUACAGCUUGGCAAAACAUUGCAUCCAGUCCCUCCCAAGGACACAGCGCCCGUCUCGCUCCAUCCUUAUCUCCCUUCAGGCUCAUCCAGGUCUGCUCCCAUGCGCUUUGCAAAGACAAAAGGUCUCCAAGUUGUGUUUUGCCACCCUCCCACCACUCCACAAGGACUCCUGGAAAUAGCACAAACUUCUAAGUUCUGUGCAAAUUCCUGCCUUCAAACUUAGUAUUGGUUUCGCUAAAAAGCGUCGGUGAUUACUUUCCCAACGAGGACAGCAACACAGUAAUGCCACGUUAUGAAUAACAAUGAAUAAAUGAUAGACGUUGGGAAAACAUCACUGUGCUGCCCCGGGGGCUGAGAGGGUGAAUAAUGGGCUGCAGAGAAAAAAGCAGGGGUGGGAUGUGGUGCUGCAGUGUUAUGGGAUGGGCUUCCAAGGCUGGGGGCUGUGCUGUGCUGUGCGCCAUGCUGAGGGCCAAGGCCACCUCUGGAGAGCAGGAAGGGAGAAGAGAUGAGUGGAAGUUGAGGGCUCCCUCUGGUUCUCCAUUCAGUCAAUGGGAUUUGGGCAUGUAAAAGCUGUUAGUGCUCGAGCACAGCGGGUUGCUCACUCCCAUCCCCUGCUCGGGGCUGCUGCAGCUCCAAACCCAUCUGCUCUGCACCGAGUGGGCGGUGGGGAGCGAUGGGGUGAGCAGAUCCAUCCCCAGCUGUGGUUUAGGGACCGCUGAUCAUUGCCCCCGGUGAGGUGCAGGAGCACUGGGAGGCUGCAGACGUUUUACCAUUCAGGGGAAAACUGCUCUCUUGAUUUAGAAAGCCAGGGAGGGACUGCCCAUAAUACCUCUUCCUUUUUCCUUACUUGGGGGUUACACGCAGGCUGCAGAAUGUGUGGGGUGCUGUAAAACCCAGAGCCUGUGCUGGGCAGGCAGUUAUUCCUAUGGAAUGGGACUCAGAUGGAGAUUUUGGGGUUGAUUUCGCCUAUUCAGCUGUUCCCACCUGGGCUGGGAGUAGAAGAUCCCACAAUCUCAGAGUGAUCUCUUUGCUGUGCUGUACCCGUUGGUGUUGGGGUACAGAUGGGAAUCACACAGAGAUCGGUGCUGGGGGUGGUGCACAGCAGUGAGGAGAGUGGAGGGCAUGGGGGAGAUGGGGGGUAUGUGGUGAGGGGCUGCAUGGCAUGGGGCCGUGGGGCUGCCCUGCUGCUGUGCUUUGAUAUGGGCUCCUGAGUGGAGAUUUUGGCUCUUGGGUGUCCUCGAUGAUGGUGUGAAACCAUGGGGUGGUGAUGAGGCUGUGUUUGGGCGUCUGUCAUGGGGCAAAGGCUCUGAGCACCCCAAAUGCAGGGCUCUGAGCCAGGAGGGAUCACAUCCCUCCCAUAAGGGAAGGCAACGGAGGGAUGCAACAUUCCCCAGACUCACACAAACCUGAUUUCCAUUACUAUCAAAGUGUCCCAACCUGGUUUUCAUUACCCUCCUUGAUUUCCAUGCCUGUAAUUUCUCCUAAUGCCUCUCUCCAACUGUUCCCCCGCUCUUUCUCAGCUGUUAAUCUCCAGCCCCAAGCUCUCCUCUCCUUCCUUUUCCCCAUCCUUUCUGUGCCAUCCAUCACCGUGCUCAGAGGGGGGGUCACAGCGCUGUGGGGACGAACCUCGGGUUCCUUAUAAGGACAGCCCAAAGGAAUCUCCCAUCAGCAGAGCCCACACUGCCCAGGAAACUCAAUCCUUCCUCGGGACAAAGUGAUGGCAAAAUCGUGAGAUGGUAAAAAUAGAGCUGUGGUUUCCCUCCCUGUGAAAGCAAAGCAGUUGUGCAGGAUUUACAAUAACACUCAGAGCCAGGCAGGGGGGGGGGAGAAAGUCGCUCCUCGUGGUGCGUGUAAUAAAGGACAUAAAUAUGUCUGCAGCAGCAACAUUAUCAAUAUUUUUCUGCUUAAGUUAUGGAUUAGUUCCACAUGCCAGGGGCAGGGCUGGCUUUCUUCUCACCAGCCUGGCUUUUGGGAACUGAUUGAUUCACUUUUGUUGCUGAUGGAUCAAGAAUUCUGCUAUUAGGAGGAAAUGAAUGUCAAAUCCUUCAUGGCAUCGAUGAGGAUGGAGCAGGGCAGGCGGGAGGAGCAGAGUGAGGCAGGAUGGGGCUUCUUUCCCUUUCCCUCUUCUCCUUCUUUCCUACUCCUCUCCUCUCCUCUCCUCUCCUCUCCUCUCCUCUCCUC